UCUCAGUGACAGGGAAUACAUCAGAAGUCGGUUAUUUACAGUCGUUUUUCUACUUAAAACAUCGGCCUUUGUGUAAAUUCAAGCCUUGAUUGGAUGUUGUAAAUUGAGUCUUCCAAGUGGAUGCAGCUGUAAACAACUUGGAAUCUUAGAAGGUCUGUGUGCGGGUCAUGUUGUCCUCAGCCGAGGACUGACCUCACGUUGAACCCCCUUGGAGAUACUAGUGGAGAUACUAGUGGAGACACCAGAGGGCUGAAAACAUACAGGUGAAACUUAAUCCUCCAGAUAUGGCAGCGCCUGUGAGAUACCCUUGGUGGAGAGCAUUUGUGACAAGGAAGAGUAUUCCAACAACCCAAGAAUCUGGUGAGACCCAACCUUCUGGGGAGAAGAUGUCUCCUAUCUCCUCCAAAUCUACACCGGACUCAAAGGGAAACGAAACAUUUCCAGAUGCAGAAACCUUCGACGAUGCAGAGUUUGAGCCAAUGUUCAAUGAGAAAACUUGUAGACGGAAUCUCAAAGUGUCACGUUCUGGACGUUUUAAGGAGAACAGAAGAGUACGGGGGACCAUACCUGACAAUAACAACUUCAGUGGAAGUGUUGCUGCGACUGCUGUUGCUAAGUAGGCCAGGCUAUAUCAUGAUCAUUCUACCUGCCAGACUGCAGCCUGUUAUGGAGCAUGGAGCAAUGGUGAUGCAAUUUGAAUACAUUUUGAGGCAUUUUUUAAAGAUAUAACUUUCAUAAAUGUUCAUCAAUUGUGCCUAUCACCAGGUUAAUAUAUUAGGUAUACACCUAAUUCAUAAUAUGUUUAGGCCAAUGAAGGAUGGAUACGGAAUAGUUAUGAAGUAUCAAAUAAUUGUAAAGAAUGAUUUCAUAAUCAUUUUGUAGUGAAUUCAGGAAGUAGGCCCGUCCGGGACUCAAACCAGGGUCCGGUAACUGUCAAGCCAAGACUUUAAUGGUAACGCCAAGAGGUCUGGGUUAAGGUUACUAUAUUACCACCUUCCUUCAGGAGAGUGUCCCCACACUUCUCUAUACCAAGUCUCUCUCAUGUGUACACGCCUCUCCGAUGGCCUCACGGGUACCAUCCCAAUUCACUAGGUGUGGGUUAAGGUCUCCUACAAUAUCGAUUUUCAAGUAUGUUUUCAUAUUUCAUACACACACAGCCUAAAGCACAUGGUAUCUAAUGUUACAAAUAUAUCCAGCCAGGGUCAAUUACUUAUUUUGUAAUUUGUUUGAAUAGCUUUUUGUGUGUUUGUUUUCUUGACAUGAAGGACUUGUGGUGGUUUGAUAUGAAGAACAUGAAGGACUUGAGGUGGUUUGAUAUGAAGAACAUGAAGGACUUGAGGUUGUUUGAUAUGAAGCACUUGAGGUGGUUUGAUAUGAAGGACUUGAGGUGGUUUGAUAUGAAGGACAAUAGGUGGUUUGAUAUGAAGGACAAGAGGUGGUUUGAUAUGAAGGACAUGAGGUGGUUUGAUAUGAAGGACAAGAGGUGGUUUGAUAUGAAGUACAUGAGGUGGUUUGAUAUGAAGGACAUAAGGUGGUUUGAUAUGAAGCCCAAGAGGUGGUUUGAUAUGAAGGACAUGAGGUGGUUUGAUAUGAAGGACAAGAGGUGGUUUGAUAUGAAGGACUCACAUACAACCAAACUUUAUUUAGAUCAUGCUGGAUUAAUCUGAUUCUGUUCAUACUGUACUAGGCUACCUAAGGUCUAGUAUGCACUAAUGCAGUGGUUCCCAACCAUUCUUUUGUUACUGUACCACCAACUGAAUUUUGCUCUGCCUGGAGUACCCCUGAAGUACCCCCUCGUGUAUUUUACCAGUAGGGCUAUGGGCUCAUGAGUCUUCUCAAGUACCCCUGUGGAUAGACCAGGUACCCCCAGGGGUCCUAGUACCACUGGUUGGGAACCACUGCAGUAAUGAACUCUUAAAGUGGAUGUGAAUGAAGGAUAUGCCAGCAUGUACAUUAGCUAGUGUUGAGAUUUUAAGAUACUAUUUUAAAUGUAAAAAGAAAAAAAAAAAACAUCUGCAUUUUGUACUGCAAUGUACGUACUCGCACGCACACUCACUCAGGAAUUACAUACGACGUUAAUACACCUUUGUUACAUAUUUAUUGUGGAUAAUAUAUUUACUAUUUAGUCACGAUCUCAACAUCUCUGUUUUGAAUGGACAAUGCCUACUGGCAUCAUUGUUUACAGUCUGCUAAAAGUUUACUUCAGAGAUGUAUAUGAAGAAAAAACAUCUACAAUAUUGUAAAUAAAUGUGUAAAUAUGUAAUUUGGUUUACUUUGUGUUUUAUUUUCACUUAACAAUAACAGAUAUGGUGAAGAAAGCUAAAUACAUCUAAAAUGUUAAAUACAUCUUAAAUAAAAUAAAAUGUUAUUGGUCAC
Molecule: long non-coding RNA, 2376 nt
Filed under: Salmo salar (Atlantic salmon)
Lineage: Eukaryota; Metazoa; Chordata; Actinopteri; Salmoniformes; Salmonidae
Description: lncRNA (ENSSSAG00000083807.1)
Source: RNAcentral